RNAcentral lists this long non-coding RNA (4298 nucleotides) under Homo sapiens (human). RNAcentral describes it as "HSALNT0163292". The record is from RNAcentral. Lineage: Eukaryota; Metazoa; Chordata; Mammalia; Primates; Hominidae.
CUUGAAAAGAUUGAGAUGUUUGCAAAAAUUCUAAACAUACCAAAAAACUUUUAAUAUUAGUUUUCUCUGAUGUUAGGAUUAUGAGUAAUUUCUUUUCAAGUUUAUCUGUCUAUAUUUUUAGCUGUCUACAAAGUGACUUUUCAGGUUAUCAAAGCAAUUCUGAUUAUAUUCGAAAAAAAAAAAAGCAAAAGUUACUUUAAAAUAGCAAGUUCUACCAUGUAGUUGCACAUAAUUCUGAAGUGAAAGACAGUUGGAGGCCAGGGGUGGUAGCUCACCCCUGUAAUCCCAGCGCUUUGGGAGGCCAAGGUGGGAGGAUCACUUGAGACCAGGAGUUUGAGAUCAGCUUGGGCAACAUAGCCAGACCCUAUCUCUAAUUAAAAAAAAAAAAAGUUGGAAACUAUAAUGAAGAAACCACUACAGUGGUUAUUAUGUGAUCUUCUUUCUAGUUUCUGUGUAGCUCUGCUUUACAUAAUCUUUAAACCAUCUAUUUUGCUUCAUUAAUUGAGCACACAUUUAUUGAGAAACUUCUUUUUUUUUUGGUUCUUUUUUUUUAAUCUUUAUUUUUUUUACUAUACUUUAAGUUCUAGGGUACAUGUGCACAACGUGCAGGUUUGUUACAUAUGUAUACAUGUGUCAUGUUGGUGUGCUGCACCCAUUAACUCGUCAUUUACAUUAGGUACAUCUCCUAAUGCUAUCCCUCCCCCCUCCCCCCACCCCACAACAGGCCCCAGUGUGUGAUGUUCCCCUUCCUGUGUCCAAGUGUUCUAUUAAGAAACUUCUAUAUAGCAGCACUGCGCCAGGCACUGGGGAUACAAGUGUAAGCACGACAAAGUUCUUGGGGAGAAAUAUUAUAAAUAAACAAGGCACAUCUUUAAUUCCAGUUAACAAUGGUGCUUUUGGGAAAAAUAAAGCAGGGUGGGGGUGAGGGAGCGAUGCAGUAUGGUUGUUUCGGACACCGCAGUCAGGGUUUGAGGAGGCACUGACUCUAGGUCGGAGACCUGAACGGUAUGCAUUGGCCCUGUGAAAAUCCAGGUAAAGAGUAGUAGUCCGGGCAAGGGAAUAGCAAGUAAAAAGGAAAAUUCUCAAAUGAUCUAAGACCAAUUAGAAAAAAAAAAUAUAGCAGAAUACAUUUAGGUUUUUCUUUGUUUGCCUGUUUUUUUUUUUUUUUUUUUCUUUUUUAGACAGAGUCUCACUCUGUUGCCCAGGCUGGAGUGCAAUGGCCCUGUCUUGGCUCACCGCAAUCUCCACCUCCUGGGUUCAAGCGAUUCUUGCACCUCAGCCUCCAAAGUAGCUGGGAUUACAGGUGUGAGCCAGUGUGUCCAGUCUUUGUUUGCUUUUCAGGUUCAAGGAACACAUUGUUCCCUCAAAAAACAGACCGGCAGCUGAGAGAGGAUGGCAAUCCUGAUGGAUGAGAAAAAGAACAGAGCUAUUUAAGGAUUCAAUAUGGACUGCCUCAAAUAUAAAGGGACACAUUUGCUACAUGGUCCAGAGACUUGUGUUCCUGGCCCAGAAUCUCCUUGUCCUAUCAAUUGUUGGAAAGACACUGCCUGCAUUUGCCCUUUUGCCUCUCUCUGUUCUGUACUUGCACUAUCAAAUAAAAACAAUUUCUAAUGGAUAGGCAUGUUUACUCAUAAGAGUUUUUAAGUGAUGUGUAAACUAAAUGCUGAAAUUUUAAGCUAAAAUGCUACUUAUUCGCUUGCAUGGAAAUACUAGGUAAUAACUGACUAAGUGCUGUGCUGACUUUAUGUGGAAGCAAGAUGGAGUUUCAGUAACAUUCUCCACGUGCUGUUCUGAAAAAUCAUGAAUACCUGAUUAUACAUAAAUUCUCUUUGAAAGGGAAUACAGUGUUUUUACUUAGCAGGAACAAAAUGGUUUUUCAGUUUUUCCAUAUAAGCAUCUCUCUUCGAAAUGUUUCAUUUUGGCAAAAGCUAACAGAAUAAUAUAUACAAAGAUGACCAAUGAAAACAGAAACACUGUAAUAAUGGGUUCUGAGAUUACAAAACUGAGAACCUGGGAAUCAAGCCCAGUUCAACAUUUACAAUAAUGGGAUGCUCACUUGCACCUCAUGAUCUAUAAGGGGAUGGUGGAAAAUGAGGAAGUGGAAGGGAGGAGUCUUAUCUGGUUCUCUGCCCAGUCAGUUCAUUGUUGCACUAGAAAGUGAUAUAAAUUCACAGUUCUCUUGUAAGGCUAGGUAAGGACAAGAAAUUCUCAGGGGAAAAUGAUAUAUCCAAUUUAGAAGCUGCAAUAUGGGUCAAAUAAAUAUAAAUGGGAAUAAUAAAUGCCAUCGAAAAAGUCUUGGACUAGGAAAAGCCCAGGGGUACUAGAUAUUGCAACGGUGGCACAUAAGGAAAGCAGUAACAGCAUUUCAUUAGGAUAUUUUAUUACAUGGAAGGAUUUUUUAAAGGAGAAAAUUUAUGUACUUCAUAUAUUUAAUUUGUACUCGAAUAUUUGAAAUGCUCCUUUUGACUAUAUGUAUAUAUAUUAUAUAUAUAUUCUUUUCUAUUUUUAUCACAGAGAGUAAGAUCGCUGAAAUCUCCAUAUUUAUAUUCAUAUAGUAAAAGCCUUCAUUAUAUAAAAAUAAUCUCCAAUGCCCACUCACAGGUCAAGUGUAUCUAACUCCGAGUUAAGAAACUGUAUACUGAAGUACAGCCCCGUCUUGUUCCUUUUAUAGCCAGUCUUUAUGCAAGAAGUCUGAAACAAAUAUUUCAGUGACAUUCCUCUGUAGUAAUGCCCCUUGUUUGUUUUAAAGAUUCAGUUUUUAAAACUUCUAUGCCCAAUUAAGUAGACAUUGUCCAACAGACCCGAUAGGAAAUCACACAUUUAAAAAUAUUACCUCAUAAUAUGUUGUCUUAUUGGUAGAUCUAAUGUAAUGGGUUUUAUAUUUCACUAUAUACAAAAUUUUUAAUAAUAAAAAUAUUUUCUUUAAAUUCACAUCAGAGCACUUUCUGGAUUUGUAAGUACUUUUUGGUUUCAAAAAUACAUGUUAAAUUUGAGAGAGAAUUUCUGGAUUCAGAAAGAGUUUAAUAUUUAACACACAAAAUGUGUUUUAAAUCAUCUGCGCCUUUGACAGCUCAGCUAACAAGCCAAUCUUUAGACUUUAUCAGAAACUUUUGCAUGUGGAAUUAGGGCAGGGACUCCUUGCAAUAAAUUUUUUAAAAUCUUAGCUUCAUUGGCUAAAUUUAAGAGUCUUGAGAUCUGUAAAUGAAGGAGAAUUAUAUAUUAUAAAUUGUCAUGGAAAGAAGGCACGUUUCUAAUUAAACAAAUUCUGACUUAGAAUAAAAUGACUGAAAUUUUUGGUGCUUUUUCCUCUCUAAAUUGUAGCAUUAGAGUAGUAGAUUGAUAUUAGAAGUGUAUUAGCUGAGUCAGUGCUUAGGGAGCAUUUUGAGAUCCUUGGCCUUUAAGUACCAUACACUUUCAAAGAAGCAAUUUUACUUAUAGCUCAAUAUAAUAUAAUGCAAUAUGGAGAAAUAAUGCCAAUGACAGCUUCAUGGGGUGUUGCCCUAUUUAUGAAACCUUAACAUGUCACUUAUGUAUGGCUGCUUAUGCUCCUCCAUACAAGCAGCUAAGACAACAAUUUUACAGAUGCAAAAAUUAAUAAAGAAAACAAAAGGAAGAAAUGAAGGCAGAAAGUGAAAGAAGAAAGAGACCAAAAAAGAUGUCUCAUGAUCACAAGCUAUUCCACAGGCAGAGGCAAAUGAUAAGAUUUGUUUACUUUUUUCUCACCAAAUGUAAUUAUAAAUCACUUGGUUCUUUUUUUACUGUUAAUAUUGUAAAUUCUGUAAAUCUCAAUACAUCUUUUCUGUCCCAAUCCCCAGAUGCCAUGUGGUCAUUUUAUAGAAGGACCAUUUCUCACCCACAUGAACCAAGGUGGUGAAAAAGGGAUGGUUGAUUUAAUACCCUAACUCAGAAUUUAUGUAGAUUUAAAAAUCUCUGACUUAAUGUUGCAUUAACUACUGGUGGCUGCUUUACUGCCUUUAAAACAUGCAUAUAUAAUUGGAUACUGUAAUGCUUUGUGGGUAAAAUAAAUACCAACUCACACUAAAAUAAAUAUUCUGCAUGAUGAAGUUCAUGUAGACAUAAAUUAAUCAUUUACCCGUUAACUGAUAUGCACAGGAAAGAAAUAGAUCACUUAUUAAAGGUUGCCUCAUCUAUAAAAUGGGAAAAUAAAAUGCCGAUAUAUUUUACAGUGCUGCUGUGAGGAAAAAUGUAUAAAAUUAUUGCUAAGCAGUUUAUAAACCAUAAAAUGCAGUAUGAACAUUAAAUUAAUAAUAUUUGUACUAAUUCAGAUUCAACACCCU